GCCUCUGUAGCUCAGUUGGUUAGAGCGCUGCAUCGGAAUCGCAGCGCCGCAGGUUCAAUUCCUGCCAGAGGGC
This 73-nucleotide transfer RNA is filed under the name Paramuricea clavata. It matches the Rfam family "tRNA". Rfam says of the family: Transfer RNA (tRNA) molecules are approximately 80 nucleotides in length. Their secondary structure includes four short double-helical elements and three loops (D, anti-codon, and T loops). Lineage: Eukaryota; Metazoa; Cnidaria; Anthozoa; Malacalcyonacea; Plexauridae. The record is from Rfam by way of RNAcentral.